Long non-coding RNA from Condylura cristata (star-nosed mole), 312 nucleotides. RefSeq lists it as uncharacterized. Lineage: Eukaryota; Metazoa; Chordata; Mammalia; Eulipotyphla; Talpidae. The transcript has 3 exons. The record is from RefSeq and is a predicted model, not a curated record.
UCCAUCCACCGCUGGGCAGCAGAGGGACAGAGCCGCACGCACAGAGGGCGACGUGCUCUCCAGAAGCCGCCAGGACGGCAGAGGUGGCACACUUCAGCUCCCCAGCAUGGAAACUGCGCACUGAUGGCUGCUCUUUAGAGUUACCGCGGAGGCAUCGCGAGGUGGGAGCCCUGCGAGGGGCAGGCAGGCACCAGAGUCCGAAACAUGGCGUUCCCACUCCGGCCUGCCGAGCGGGUUACAAAACCAGCGCUCUGCUCCCCUCCCCCUUGCCGCAAGAUGAGAGAGCAAAUUCCCUGCACUGCAGCAGCGCCG